This 911-nucleotide small RNA is filed under the name Pan troglodytes (chimpanzee). RNAcentral describes it as "retained intron". Lineage: Eukaryota; Metazoa; Chordata; Mammalia; Primates; Hominidae. The record is from RNAcentral.
UCUCAGCGCCAGGCCUUUCAGGAGACCCGCGGUUACAUCCAGGCCCGGCUCCACCUGCAGCAUGAGAAUCGGCAGCAGGAGCGGCUGCUGCUGUCGGUAUUGCCCCAGCACGUUGCCAUGGAGAUGAAAGAAGACAUCAACACAAAAAAAGAAGACAUGAUGUUCCACAAGAUCUACAUACAGAAGCAUGACAAUGUCAGCAUCCUGUUUGCAGACAUUGAGGGCUUCACCAGCCUGGCAUCCCAGUGCACCGCGCAGGAGCUGGUCAUGACCCUGAAUGAGCUCUUUGCCCGGUUUGACAAGCUGGCUGCGGUGAGGGUGCUGGGCCUUGGGAUUGGGCCUGGGUGUUGACCGUGGUGAGAGCAUAGCUUUGCUGGCAGCAGCUGGGGAUUUGAGGGCAGAUAGAUUGUGCAUGGAGGGUGGUGGGCCAUGCAGGCUGGGUGGGCAAGAGAGUAAAGGUUACCCUUCCCUCCAACUCCUUCCCAUUCAGGAGAAUCACUGCCUGAGGAUCAAGAUCUUGGGGGACUGUUACUACUGUGUGUCAGGGCUGCCGGAGGCCCGGGCCGACCAUGCCCACUGCUGUGUGGAGAUGGGGGUAGACAUGAUCGAGGCCAUCUCGCUGGUACGUGAGGUGACAGGUGUGAAUGUGAACAUGCGCGUGGGCAUCCACAGCGGGCGCGUGCACUGCGGCGUCCUUGGCUUGCGGAAAUGGCAGUUCGAUGUGUGGUCCAAUGAUGUGACCCUGGCCAACCACAUGGAGGCAGGAGGCCGGGCUGGGUGAGUAGGGGGGUCCAGGUGGGGGGGAUGGGGGCAAGGUGGGAGAGCCAGGGUCUCACCCUCUUGGCCACAUACAGCCGCAUCCACAUCACUCGGGCAACACUGCAGUACCUGAACGGGGACUACGAGGUGGA